GAUGAACGCUAGCUACAGGCUUAACACAUGCAAGUCGAGGGGAAACGACAUCGAAAGCUUGCUUUUGAUGGGCGUCGACCGGCGCACGGGUGAGUAACGCGUAUCCAACCUGCCCACCACUAGGGGAUAACCUUGCGAAAGUAAGACUAAUACCCAAUGAUAUCUCUAGAAGACAUCUGAAAGAGAUUAAAGAUAUAUCGGUGAUGGAUGGGGAUGCGUCUGAUUAGCUUGUUGGCGGGGUAACGGCCCACCAAGGCAACGAUCAGUAGGGGUUCUGAGAGGAAGGUCCACCACAUUGGAACUGAGACACGGUCCAAACUCCUACGGGAGGCAGCAGUGAGGAAUAUUGGUCAAUGGACGAGAGUCUGAACCAGCCAAGUAGCGUGCAGGAUGACGGCCCUAUGGGUUGUAAACUGCUUUUAUAAGGGAAUAAAGUGAGUCUCGUGAGGCUUUUUGCAUGUACCUUAUGAAUAAGGACCGGCUAAUUCCGUGCCAGCAGCCGCGGUAA
RNAcentral lists this ribosomal RNA (508 nucleotides) under uncultured bacterium. RNAcentral describes it as "partial 16S ribosomal RNA". It matches the Rfam family "Bacterial small subunit ribosomal RNA", at positions 28 to 523 of the family's 1533-position model. The record is from RNAcentral.